Molecule: ribosomal RNA, 275 nt
Filed under: uncultured bacterium
Lineage: Bacteria
Description: partial 16S ribosomal RNA
Rfam family: Bacterial small subunit ribosomal RNA
Source: RNAcentral
AUACGUAGGUGGCGAGCGUUGUCCGGAUUUAUUGGGCGUAAAGCGCGCGCAGGCGGGCUGGUCAGUCCAGGGUGAAAUCUCACGGCUCAACUGUGAGGGGUCCCCGGAUACUGCCAGCCUUGAGGUGCCUAGAGGAGAGUGGAAUUCCCGGUGUAGUGGUGGAAUGCGUAGAUAUCGGGAGGAACACCAGUGGCGAAAGCGGCUCUCUGGGGGCAACCUGACGCUGAGGCGCGAAAGCGUGGGGAGCAAACAGGAUUAGAAACCCCCUGUAGUCC